RNAcentral lists this long non-coding RNA (1794 nucleotides) under Homo sapiens (human). Its description in RNAcentral is "long non-coding RNA NONHSAT160515.1". The record is from RNAcentral. Lineage: Eukaryota; Metazoa; Chordata; Mammalia; Primates; Hominidae.
CGCAGCAGCAGCUUGGGGCCGCCGAAGCAGUAGCACUGGAAGGGGCAGGGUGCCGCGGGCUGGCUCAGCGCCGCCGCCACGAGCAGCAGCCCCUGGAGCCCCGGCUGUCCCGCGCGCGGGGCCAUCGCGGCCGCCCCCGCAUCCAGCGCCCGGGCCGCCGCGCUCACCCUUGAAGAUUUUAACCUUUGUUUCAAAGGCAAAGAGAAGCCAUUGAAAGCUUUUAAGUAGAAAUGUGACAUAAUUUUAUUUGUAUUUUGUAAAGAUCACUCUCACCACAUGAUUGAAAGAGCCAAGUAUGAGAAGAUAAAUGAGGAGACGCUUGGAGAAGUACAGGGGCACCACCAACACUUAAGAUUCAAGAGUUGCCUUACUAGAUGGCCUUGGGCAAGUCACAAAACCUUUCUGGGAUUCUCUGAGUGUGGGGUUGAUUUUCUGUCUCUAUCAGGUGAUCCUUUCCCCAUAAUCUUAAUUAUUUAUGCCAUGCUUUCUGUUCUCUUCAGAGAGAUUAGCAUUUACACAUAUGUUAAAUGUUAUUUUCUAAAUGCUAACACCAAUUAAUGCAAUCCUAUCUGUUUUUAACUUCCUUAGCCUCCAUCUUCAGGCAAGAAAGUCUGUGAUAUGAAUGAAGGGAAGAAGUUGGAAUGAGGAUUGGUCUGCUGAUUCAACAAUGUCUUUGAUGACCCAGGCAUUUCCCAUUCUGAGCCUCGAGGGUGACUACCCCUGUGAUUGCAAGAUGACUGAGUGCCAUCAGGAACCAUGUCCUCCCAAGAUCAUAAAAGGCACAUGGAAUCAAAGCUUUUGGUCAACUGCCAACAAGGUACAGAGGCCCAACAGCAAUCAUCGAAUGAACUUGGAAGUGGAUCCUCUCACCCCAGUUGAGCCUUCUGAUGACUGCAGCCCUGGCUGAUGCUUGACUACAACUUCAUCAGAAAUCCUCAUGAAGAUCCAGCACCUUCCAGUUAGCCCAUCUGUGGGUUCUUGACCCUCAGAAAUUCUAUGAGAUAAUAAAUAUUUGUUGUUUUAAGUUGCGAUGAGAAAACCAAUGCUCCGAUGAGUGCAGUGACUUCCCAUGCCUGUGGAGAGUCUAUGCCUUUGAUUGGAUCCCCAGAGGUGGUUUUCACUUGCCCCCCAUUGCCUAUACCAUGUUGCCUUCCUGAUCUUGGCUCAACCAAGAGGCGGACUCACCGUGAUGUGAAUGCAGCUUGAGCAUCCAGGACUCUCCCCAGAUCCAGGGAGGGCCUCAGCGAUGUGUUCACGUUGUCAUAUUUUUAUAAAAUUUGCAAAGGUAAGAUACUUUAACCACAAUCAAAAUUACUAUUUUCUUCCCACUCCAACUUCCCUUGUGUUUCAAUUUUCCUUUAUGUGGGAUAAUUGGAGUGGCCAUGGGCACUUCUGGGAUCUGACCAAGGGGAAGCUGAGUGGGGGACUGAUUUGAGUUGGGUUCACUGGGAUAUGUUUAUGUGGUUUUCUGAAACAGAGGAUAUAUUAAUAUUUAUGUGGUUCUCUGUGUAUAGAUAAAUCAUUGCUAGUAAUCUCUGUGUAGAGAAUAGCUUCUAGGAAUUCUACCCACUGCCCAGCUCACUUGGCAUGGUGAUAUUAAGUUGCCAUAUGCAGAGGUCAUAUCGUGAUAUGAAUGUGUGUCAUGGCACCCAGCCCAGGAAGUAUAUGGGCAGUAGACAAGAAACAGGAGAAACCAGGUUUGAAAUGUACAGAGCCAGAAGCUAGUCUGUGGAAAAUUCUUCUAAUCAUCAGGGGGAGAAAAUGUGUCUCAGAGGUUAAGCAGGGCAGUUAAUA